This is a long non-coding RNA of Priapulus caudatus, 261 nucleotides long. RefSeq lists it as uncharacterized. The transcript is spliced from 4 exons. The record is from RefSeq and is a predicted model, not a curated record. Lineage: Eukaryota; Metazoa; Priapulida; Priapulimorpha; Priapulimorphida; Priapulidae.
GCAGACUGCACGUACUCGGGUCACUUUCCCGCCAAUUCUACCAGACGAGCUUCUAUUUAUGGACAGUGGCUGCCCGAGAAGUACUAUACGUCAGCUUCAUAACACGAGCUGGAUUCGUCGACGCGGUGGUUAGUACAUGCUGGAUUAUCGCAUGAGAAGGCGACUUGAAAGAACACGCGGCUGACAGACGAACCUUCUACAACGUGCUAGUCUUCUCUGCGAUCGUGGCGCCCCCAUGCGGACCUUCACCGACAACAGCAA